UGCAUAUCAAAAAGCGGAGGAAAAGAAACCAACAGGGAUUGCCUUAGUAGCGGCGAGUGAAGCGGCAAAAGCUCAAAUUUGAAAUCUGGCUCUUUCAGAGUCCGAGUUGUAAUUUGAAGAAGGUAUCUUUGGGUCUGGCUCUUGUCUAUGUUUCUUGGAACAGAACGUCACAGAGGGUGAGAAUCCCGUGCGAUGAGAUGAUCCAGGCCUAUGUAAAGUUCCUUCGAAGAGUCGAGUUGUUUGGGAAUGCAGCUCUAAGUGGGUGGUAAAUUCCAUCUAAAGCUAAAUAUUGGCGAGAGACCGAUAGCGAACAAGUACAGUGAUGGAAAGAUGAAAAGAACUUUGAAAAGAGAGUGAAAAAGUACGUGAAAUUGUUGAAAGGGAAGGGCUUGAGAUCAGACUUGGUAUUUUGUAUGUUACUUCUUCGGGGGUGGCCUCUACAGUUUAUCGGGCCAGCAUCAGUUUGGGCGGUAGGAGAAUUGCGUUGGAAUGUGGCACGGCUUCGGUUGUGUGUUAUAGCCUUCGUCGAUACUGCCAGCCUAGACUGAGGACUGCGGUUUAUACCUAGGAUGUUGGCAUAAUGAUCUUAAGUCGCCCGUCUUGAAACCACGGACCA
RNAcentral lists this ribosomal RNA (616 nucleotides) under Candida tropicalis. RNAcentral describes it as "eukaryotic LSU rRNA". It matches the Rfam family "Eukaryotic large subunit ribosomal RNA", at positions 37 to 668 of the family's 3401-position model. The record is from RNAcentral. Lineage: Eukaryota; Fungi; Ascomycota; Pichiomycetes; Serinales; Debaryomycetaceae.